This 878-nucleotide ribosomal RNA is filed under the name Microbacterium sp. RNAcentral describes it as "bacterial SSU rRNA". It matches the Rfam family "Bacterial small subunit ribosomal RNA", at positions 556 to 1431 of the family's 1533-position model. Lineage: Bacteria; Bacillati; Actinomycetota; Actinomycetes; Micrococcales; Microbacteriaceae. The record is from RNAcentral.
GGGCGUAAAGAGCUCGUAGGCGGUUUGUCGCGUCUGCUGUGAAAUCCGGAGGCUCAACCUCCGGCCUGCAGUGGGUACGGGCAGACUAGAGUGCGGUAGGGGAGAUUGGAAUUCCUGGUGUAGCGGUGGAAUGCGCAGAUAUCAGGAGGAACACCGAUGGCGAAGGCAGAUCUCUGGGCCGUAACUGACGCUGAGGAGCGAAAGGGUGGGGAGCAAACAGGCUUAGAUACCCUGGUAGUCCACCCCGUAAACGUUGGGAACUAGUUGUGGGGUCCAUUCCACGGAUUCCGUGACGCAGCUAACGCAUUAAGUUCCCCGCCUGGGGAGUACGGCCGCAAGGCUAAAACUCAAAGGAAUUGACGGGGACCCGCACAAGCGGCGGAGCAUGCGGAUUAAUUCGAUGCAACGCGAAGAACCUUACCAAGGCUUGACAUAUACGAGAACGGGCCAGAAAUGGUCAACUCUUUGGACACUCGUAAACAGGUGGUGCAUGGUUGUCGUCAGCUCGUGUCGUGAGAUGUUGGGUUAAGUCCCGCAACGAGCGCAACCCUCGUUCUAUGUUGCCAGCACGUAAUGGUGGGAACUCAUGGGAUACUGCCGGGGUCAACUCGGAGGAAGGUGGGGAUGACGUCAAAUCAUCAUGCCCCUUAUGUCUUGGGCUUCACGCAUGCUACAAUGGCCGGUACAAAGGGCUGCAAUACCGCGAGGUGGAGCGAAUCCCAAAAAGCCGGUCCCAGUUCGGAUUGAGGUCUGCAACUCGACCUCAUGAAGUCGGAGUCGCUAGUAAUCGCAGAUCAGCAACGCUGCGGUGAAUACGUUCCCGGGUCUUGUACACACCGCCCGUCAAGUCAUGAAAGUCGGUAACACCUGAAGCCGGU